UACAGAGGGUGCGAGCGUUAAUCGGAAUUACUGGGCGUAAAGGGAGCGUAGGCGGUAAGAUGUGUGUGAUGUGAAAGCCCCGGGCUCAACCUGGGAAGUGCAUCGCAAACUGUCUAACUAGAGUAUAUGAGAGGGUGGCGGAAUUUCCGGUGUAGCGGUGAAAUGCGUAGAUAUCGGAAGGAACGUCAAUGGCGAAGGCAGCCACCUGGCAUAAUACUGACGCUGAGGCUCGAAAGCGUGGGGAGCGAACAGG
RNAcentral lists this ribosomal RNA (253 nucleotides) under uncultured bacterium. Its description in RNAcentral is "partial 16S ribosomal RNA". It matches the Rfam family "Bacterial small subunit ribosomal RNA", at positions 524 to 776 of the family's 1533-position model. The record is from RNAcentral.